ACAGGUAGUUCUGACAAACUGAUGGCUACUCCAUAUUGCUAAAGCCAAUACCUACACAACUCAUUGAACAUGGAGGUAUUGUCUUUAGCAAUUAGGGCCUUCAUCCCUACAUGCAUCUUUGGUACAGGAAGCUACUCUGUUAGCUACCAAAGGAGAAACAUAUACACCAACCCAGCUACAAAUUUUUGUAUCUACAAUGGUGACCUGCCUGAUAUAUAUGCUAGUGCAGAGGUGGUACAGACCACUAUCGGUUUAGUAGUAAACCAAUAUCUUACACUUGACUUAAAACCCACUCCCUGAGAUGGAAGCCAUAUCCAACACUGUUUGGAUGACCAAGAAACUAAGUAUAUUUAGCCAAAGGACAGAGGGUAUCCAAAUACUAUUGUUAAAAAAACAAUACAAAACAUCAUCCCCCAAAAUAAAGCAAUAAGAUGACUCUUGAUGACAUUCUGCUAUUAUUAUAGAUCAGUGACUUGCUCAGCCAUCAUCAAAGAAGCUUCCUGGUACAUCAGAUGGUAAAAAUACAGAGGCCCACAGCCAGGCAAUAUCCAUAGUGAGAGACCUUGGAAGGCUCAGUUCUUAAAUGGAAUGUCUCUAUCAAAUCCCUCUCCUCAGGGCUCAGGAAAUUCUUCUGAAGAGGAUGCAGAGAGAGCCUUAGUCCCAGAGGGUAUGGAGGACACUAAAGAAACAAGACCCUUUAAGCACAGCAGGCCCAAGGUGCAUAGGAAUCCACGGAGACAGAGGCAGCACAGGUGGGGCCUGAGUGAGUCUGCACCAGAUGGAGACCGAAUUGAAAGAAAAAGCAGGUUCAUGCCUGCCAUCCUUAAGCCAGUAGC
Molecule: long non-coding RNA, 836 nt
Filed under: Mus musculus (house mouse)
Lineage: Eukaryota; Metazoa; Chordata; Mammalia; Rodentia; Muridae
Description: long non-coding RNA chr14:99680680-99681516
Source: RNAcentral